This 447-nucleotide ribosomal RNA is filed under the name uncultured bacterium. Its description in RNAcentral is "bacterial SSU rRNA". It matches the Rfam family "Bacterial small subunit ribosomal RNA", at positions 355 to 825 of the family's 1533-position model. The record is from RNAcentral.
UGGGGAAUAUUGGACAAUGGGCGAAAGCCUGAUCCAGCAAUGCCGCGUGAGUGAUGAAGGCCUUAGGGUUGUAAAGCUCUUUUACCAGGGAUGAUAAUGACAGUACCUGGAGAAUAAGCUCUGGCUAACUCCGUGCCAGCAGCCGCGGUAAUACGGAGGGAGCUAGCGUUGUUCGGAAUUACUGGGCGUAAAGCGUGCGUAGGCGGUGACUCAAGUCAGAGGUGAAAGCCUGGAGCUCAACUCCAGAACUGCCUUUGAAACUAGGUCGCUAGAAUCUGGGAGAGGUGAGUGGAAUUCCGAGUGUAGAGGUGAAAUUCGUAGAUAUUCGGAAGAACACCAGUGGCGAAGGCGGCUCACUGGACCAGAAUUGACGCUGAGGCACGAAAGCGUGGGGAGCAAACAGGAUUAGAUACCCAAGUAGUCCCUGAGCGGGCUGGCAAGGCGCAU